This 697-nucleotide ribosomal RNA is filed under the name Dinophysis caudata. RNAcentral describes it as "LSU rRNA". It matches the Rfam family "Eukaryotic large subunit ribosomal RNA", at positions 38 to 654 of the family's 3401-position model. Lineage: Eukaryota; Dinophyceae; Dinophysales; Dinophysaceae. The record is from RNAcentral.
ACAUAUAAGUAAGCGGAGGACAAGAAACUAAACAGGAUCCCCAUAGUAAUGGCGAAUGAACCGGGAUAAACUCAGCAUGGAAAUUGGGGCCUUUGGCUUUGACUUGUAAUCUGGUGAGGCAUUGCCAACAGAGGCGCAUAUGUAAGUCUCUUGGAAAAGAGCAUCAACGAAGGUGAGAGUCCUGAUUGUCAUGUGCAGCCCCCCUGUGCACGGUGUGCCUUCUAAGAGUCACGUUCCUUGGGAUUGGAGCGCAAAUUGGGUGGUAACUUUCAUCUGAAGUUAAACAAGGGUUUGGGACCGAUAGGAAACAAGUACCAUGAGGGAAAGGUGAAAAGGACUUUGGAAAGAGAGUUAAAAGUGCCUGAAAUUGCUGAAGGGGAAGCGAAUGGAACCAGUAGUGCUGGGUGAGAUUGUCACAUGCUACAAGGAUUGGUUGCUGCCACAACGCAAGUGUGAUGGCAAUUUGUGAAUUGCUAGUGUGUGGUGUGUCUUACCUAGUGGGUCAUUGUGGGUUUAUGCAUUAAGAUAAGUCAAAGCAAGCGGGAGCAAGUUUACGAGUUUGUGAAUGUGUGUUGUUAUGCUUGUGCGUAAGCUUUAAGGUUUGUCUGGCUGCAGGGCUGUCCAUCCUCGAGCUGAGGGUUGCGAUGAGCAUAACCUUCUGCGCAGAUCUUGACGAAAUGGUUUCAUUCGACCGUCU